RNAcentral lists this ribosomal RNA (460 nucleotides) under uncultured bacterium. RNAcentral's name for it is "partial 16S ribosomal RNA". It matches the Rfam family "Bacterial small subunit ribosomal RNA", at positions 338 to 795 of the family's 1533-position model. The record is from RNAcentral.
CCUACGGGAGGCAGCAGUGAGGAAUAUUGGUCAAUGGACGAGAGUCUGAACCAGCCAAGUAGCGUGAAGGAUGACUGCCCUCUGGGUUGUAAACUUCUUUUAUAUGGGAAUAAAAUGUUCCACGUGUGGGCUUUUGUAUGUACCAUAUGAAUAAGGAUCGGCUAACUCCGUGCCAGCAGCCGCGGUAAUACGGAGGAUCCGAGCGUUAUCCGGAUUUAUUGGGUUUAAAGGGAGAGUAGGUGGAUUGUUAAGUCAGUUGUGAAAGUUUGCGGCUCAACCGUAAAAUUGCAGUUGAAACUGGCAGUCUGGAGUACAGUAGAGGUGGGCGGAAUUCGUGGUGUAGCGGUGAAAUGCUUAGAUAUCACGAAGAACUCCGAUUGCGAAGGCAGUUCACUGGACUGCAACUGACACUGAGGCUCGAAAGUGUGGGUAUCAAACAGGAUUAGAUACCCCUGUAGUC